GACGAACGCUGGCGGCGUGCCUAAUACAUGCAAGUUGAGCGAUGAAGAUUGGUGCUUGCACCAAUUUGAAGAGCAGCGAACGGGUGAGUAACGCGUGGGGAAUCUGCCUUUGAGCGGGGGACAACAUUUGGAAACGAAUGCUAAUACCGCAUAAUAGCGUUAAACAUAAGUUUUAAGUUUGAAAGAUGCAAUUGCAUCACUCAAAGAUGAUCCCGCGUUGUAUUAGCUAGUGGGUGAGGUAAAGGCUCACCAAGGCGAUGACACGUAGCCGACCUGAGAGGAGGAUCGCUCAAACUGGAACUGGGCCACGGUCCAGACGCCUACGGGAGGCAGCAGUGGGGAAGAUUGGACAAUGGUGGAAGUCCUUAUCCAGACAUGCCGGGUGUGUGAAGAAGGUCUCCGGAUGGUAAAGCACUUUAAGUGGGGAGAAAGGGAAGUAAGUUAAAACCGUGCUGGAGUGACGUUAACAACAGAAUAAGCACCGGCUAACUUCGUG
RNAcentral lists this ribosomal RNA (496 nucleotides) under uncultured bacterium. Its description in RNAcentral is "partial 16S ribosomal RNA". It matches the Rfam family "Bacterial small subunit ribosomal RNA", at positions 28 to 507 of the family's 1533-position model. The record is from RNAcentral.